RNAcentral lists this long non-coding RNA (375 nucleotides) under Bos taurus (domestic cattle). Its description in RNAcentral is "long non-coding RNA NONBTAT025639". Lineage: Eukaryota; Metazoa; Chordata; Mammalia; Artiodactyla; Bovidae. The record is from RNAcentral.
UUUUUUUAGUCUCUAAGCCCCUGGAUAACCCUUUGUAUAGCUGCUACUUAUCAUGUAACACCCUUUGCCAACCUCUACUGCACAUCUGCUUUAUAGUAUUAACUUCAGAGUAAAAGUUAUCCAUUUUCUGGUUCUAUUUCUCUGUAACUUAUUUUGAUUCAUGUACUCUUAGCAUUUUAUGUAGAAGGGAAAUCCUGUCAUUUGUGAAACAAAGAACUAACCUCUUAACUGAAAAUCAUAUAAGCAGGAAGACAAAAUCUCCAGCACUUUAAGGCAAAUACUCUGGUGACCAGAGUGGACCUCAGUACUGGCCUCCUCAGUUAGCAGUCUGGGUCCCAUCCUUAGGGGAAAGGUAAGGGCAGGCAGAGCCAUCUA